Molecule: long non-coding RNA, 702 nt
Filed under: Hordeum vulgare
Lineage: Eukaryota; Viridiplantae; Streptophyta; Magnoliopsida; Poales; Poaceae
Description: long non-coding RNA (HVUL_LNC010119)
Source: RNAcentral
AUCCAAAUGCAAUUCAAAGCGAACAAAGUCGCACUUCAAUUUAAAUAAAAGGUGCAUGCGAGAAAGCCCAAGGCUUACUCAGAGUUUAAAGGGUUACAUAAAACCACUCGGCAUGCCGAGGCGAAUUGAAACUUAAGAGUUUUUUCCGAGGUUCACUCAAAGGACGGAGACCCCACUGCCUCCACGAAGGUAUCAAGAUCGAUGUCGUCGGCGAUCCGGGUGGCCGCCUCCCUGAACAUCUCGAUGACGUCCUCAAACUUGAUGCUCUUCUUGAUGACCACUCGAAGGUUCUUCAGCUUCUCCUCAUCCACCCCCUGCAGUGGAUUCGGACGAGCGAGAGGCCGAUGUCCGCUCCAGCACGAGCCGCCGACUUCUUCCAAGACUGAAGGUGCCCGGGAAUAGCUUUCGCUCGAUCAAAAAUCGUGUGAGCAUCCUUCAUGGGUUCUUCUUUAGGGCCGGUCCCCUCAUCAACCUCCGCCAUAGCCGAAUGGAUCCAUCUGAAGUAGCCCAGCGCGUAAUCGAUGCGAGCUUCUAGUCGGAGGAGAGUGAUGGCAGUACUGUCCUUCAUAAGCCCAGUCUUCGGGUUCAGUUCCUUCUCAAUCGAAGUCGUCUCCUCCUCGAGAUCCACACAGAAAGAUGGAUUCAAUCAAAGACAAAGGAUGAAGAUCAUCACUCGAAAAUGACAAGACAACAAUAGAAAUC